Molecule: unclassified non-coding RNA, 416 nt
Filed under: Hevea brasiliensis (rubber tree)
Lineage: Eukaryota; Viridiplantae; Streptophyta; Magnoliopsida; Malpighiales; Euphorbiaceae
Source: RNAcentral
GGUGGUCAGCCAAGUUCUCCAAGGGGCCCUUGCCAGUGACAAUGGCCUGGACGAAGAAUCCAAACAUGGAGAACAUGGCGAGCCUGCCAUUUUUGAGCUCCUUGACCUUGAGCUCAGCAAAGGCCUCAGGAUCGUCAGCAAGUCCCAGAGGAUCAAAGCUACCACCCGGGUAGAGGGGAUCGACCACCUCACCGAGAGGCCCGCCAGCAAUACGGUAGCCCUCAACUGCUCCCAUCAGCAACACCUGGGUGGCCCAUAUGGCGAGGAUGCUCUGGGCAUGGACCAGACUGGGAUUCCCUAGAUAGUCGAGGCCGCCCUCGCUAAAGAUCUGGGCACCAGCCUUGAACCAGACGGCCUCACCGAAUUUGACCCCAUUGCGAGAGAGCAGCUCAGGGAAGACGCAGCCGAGGGCGCCG